UACGUACUGUGCGAACGUUAUUCGGAAUCACUGGGCUUAAAGGGUGCGUAGGCGGCCCGAGAGGUCCUGGGUGAAAGGCCCCGGCUCAACCGGGGAGGGCCCCAGGAAACCGGCGGGCUAGAGGGCUGGAGAGGGCCGCGGAAUUCCCGGUGUAGCGGUGAAAUGCGUAGAUAUCGGGAAGAACACCAGUGGCGAAGGCGGCGGCCUGGACAGAACCUGACGCUGAGGCACGAAAGCUGGGGGAGCGAACAGG
RNAcentral lists this ribosomal RNA (253 nucleotides) under uncultured bacterium. RNAcentral's name for it is "partial 16S ribosomal RNA". It matches the Rfam family "Bacterial small subunit ribosomal RNA", at positions 524 to 776 of the family's 1533-position model. The record is from RNAcentral.